GAAAAUGAAAAUAGUAAACUUUUUUUCCAGUGAUAUUUAAUACUGUAAUGUUUUUUUACAGAGUCCUCUAAUUAGAAGACCAACAAUGGAGCUUUUCCAAAAACCAAAAGCCAUUUGCCUAUAGAGUCGUCAUUACAAGUACUUAACAGCUUUGAAAGACGAAGAAUCCAUCACCCAAGACCGUAAUGGUGCUUCCCAUAAUGCCAGAUGGACUAUCGAAUUGCCUAUAUACGCUAAGGUUUACUAAAGAUGGACAAGAUCAGCAUCCCUUCUUUCCGAACAAAGAUCUGGUAAAAAUGCUUUGCUGUUGAUAGACAAAUACACAGACUAUGCCUUUUGAUGUUCCAUAAAGUGUUGAUUUGUUUCAAAAGGGGAGAUCCUUUGUAUACGUGAACUGUUAUGCAUUACAUUUUUAGAAGAAAAAAAUUAUUACACAUUAAUAGUUAAGUGCUUUAAGAGCUCAAGCCACAUCACAUUUAUUCAUCCAUCUAGGAAGGAAUAAUAGGAAGGAAUAAAACCAUAAUCCUUAGUUUCUUCUCAUAGCAUUGCACACUGCAGAUUGUUAACACUAUUGACAAUUACAUAAGCAUUUAACCUCCUAGUAAAAGGGCCAAACUCAUGGUUUCAGUACACAAGCAUACAUUAUACUCCAGGACUAAGACAAGAACAAUAAUUGAUAACCAAACAGUCUUCCAGAUAAUCAAUAACAAUAGUACAAGAUUUAGGCCACCGAUUAAUCUUCAGUUUCUUCUCACAGCAUUGCACACUAUAAAUUGUUAACACAAUUGACAAUUACACAAGCAUUUAACCUCCUGGUAAAAGGGUGAAACUCAUGGUUUCAGCACACAAGCAGACAUUACACUCUAGGACUAAGACAAGAACAACAAUUGAUAACCAAACAGUCUUCUAGAUAAGUAAUAAUAAUAGUACAAUAGUAUAAACACUCCCCUAAUAAUGACGAGGAUAGUGUCCAAUGCCCAAUAUAGUUUUCAGAUAGAAGCUCAUUGAAUUUGGGCCUACCAGGUAAACAGACUUAGUUCUUUUCAAGUUAGUUUCCAUUUUGACAAAUAAUCACUUUUAAACAUACUAAAAACACAACAACAACAAUGAUGUAUGUAGUGUAAUUUCAUAAAAUAGGCUCUAGAGAAGGAAGAGUGCAUAGAUGCCUUACCCUUAAUUCAAAGGUAGAUUUGUUUUUUUUCUCUAGUCACAAUUCUUUAAAAAUCCACAAAUUCCCAAUUAAUCUUGUCUCAAUGUACAACAAAACUAGUCACAGUUCUUCAAAAAAUCCACAAAUUCCCAAUUAAUCUUGUCUCUAUGAACAAUAAAUUUUAAAAAUUUACCUAACACAAGUUUUAAUAUAAACAUCAUAUCACAUCUCUUUUGCCAACAAACAUAAUACAAGCAACUAAAUAUAGACUACAACAUACAUUGAAAACUUCUAUCCAACCAUGUAAGGCAAGCUAUUGAAUACAAUUACAAAUUAUCCACAUAUUUUUUACCAACAAUGUAAUCGAAAAGUCACUUAUUACGAACUAUGUCAUAUUCACAUACCUCUUAAGAACAAAAUUACUAGAUAUAGAGAACAUUUGAUUCUUUAUAUGACAUGGUUCAGAGAGUCAAACUUCUUUAAAUCUGAAAGAAAUUUAACUUAAACCAUAUAUAUACAAGCAAAAAAAUAUUAAAUCUUAGAACCAAAAAUGUAAAAACAUAGAACACAUAGAAGACUGAAUCUGUAAUUUAAAUGAAAAUGUAAGAAAUCAACAAUAAAGUCGAAGCAUAAACCCAAUUCUGAAACAAGGCAACAAAAUUCCUACUAUUAGUUCACAUUUUGGGGAAAAUAAAGGAGACCCAAGAUAUUCAGAAAAUCAAAUUCUAUUCUAUACAUAAAUAAAAAAAAAAUUAUAGCCUUACUUUGAAUGAGAGAUUUAGGAGAGAGAGAGACUGAGAAAAAUCGGCUCGUAAGUCAUAAUUGCUUCUUUGGAUUUGGUGGAGAAAAAUUUUUUUCAAACUUUCAGAGAGUGAUUUUUAGAGAGGCGGCUUUGAGAGAGCUGUAUGGGUUUAUU
This 2066-nucleotide long non-coding RNA is filed under the name Capsicum annuum. RNAcentral's name for it is "long non-coding RNA (CANN_LNC010338)". The record is from RNAcentral. Lineage: Eukaryota; Viridiplantae; Streptophyta; Magnoliopsida; Solanales; Solanaceae.